Molecule: ribosomal RNA, 253 nt
Filed under: uncultured bacterium
Lineage: Bacteria
Description: partial 16S ribosomal RNA
Rfam family: Bacterial small subunit ribosomal RNA
Source: RNAcentral
UACGUAGGGUGCAAGCGUUAUCCGGAAUCACUGGGUUUAAAGGGUAUGUAGGCGGCUUACUAAGUCUGUAGUGAAAGUCUGCGGCUUAACUGUAGAAUUGCUAUGGAUACUGGUAGGCUUGAGUGUUGGAGAGGAAGCUGGAAUUCGUGGUGUAGCGGUGAAAUGCAUAGAUACCACGAGGAACGCCCAUUGCGAAGGCAGGCUUCUGGCUGACAACUGACGCUGAGGUACGAAAGUGUGGGGAGCGAACAGG